UACGGGGGGGGCAAGCGUUGUUCGGAAUUACUGGGCGUAAAGGGCUCGUAGGUGGCCAACUAAGUCAACCGUGAAAUCCCUCGGCUUAACCGGGGAACUGCGUUUGAUACUGGAUGGCUUGAGUUUGGGAGAGGGAUGCGGAAUUCCAGGUGUAGCGGUGAAAUGCGUAGAUAUCUGGAGGAACACCGGUGGCGAAGGCGGCAUCCUGGACCGAUAUUGACGCUGAGGAGCGAAAGCCAGGGGAGCAAACGGG
This 253-nucleotide ribosomal RNA is filed under the name uncultured bacterium. RNAcentral describes it as "partial 16S ribosomal RNA". It matches the Rfam family "Bacterial small subunit ribosomal RNA", at positions 524 to 776 of the family's 1533-position model. The record is from RNAcentral.